UACAGAGGGGGCAAGCGUUGUUCGGAAUUACUGGGCGUAAAGGGCGCGUAGGCGGCCUGUUAAGUCGAACGUGAAAUCCCUGGGCUCAACCCAGGAACUGCGUCCGAUACUGGCAGGCUUGAAUUCGGGAGAGGGAUGCGGAAUUCCAGGUGUAGCGGUGAAAUGCGUAGAUAUCUGGAGGAACACCGGUGGCGAAGGCGGCAUCCUGGACCGAUAUUGACGCUGAGGCGCGAAAGCCAGGGGAGCAAACGGG
This 253-nucleotide ribosomal RNA is filed under the name uncultured bacterium. RNAcentral's name for it is "partial 16S ribosomal RNA". It matches the Rfam family "Bacterial small subunit ribosomal RNA", at positions 524 to 776 of the family's 1533-position model. The record is from RNAcentral.